RNAcentral lists this ribosomal RNA (388 nucleotides) under uncultured bacterium. RNAcentral's name for it is "bacterial SSU rRNA". It matches the Rfam family "Bacterial small subunit ribosomal RNA", at positions 28 to 417 of the family's 1533-position model. The record is from RNAcentral.
GACGAACGCUGGUGGCGUGCUUAACACAUGCAAGUCGAGCGGUAAGGCCCUUUCGGGGGUACACGAGCGGCGAACGGGUGAGUAACACGUGGGUGACCUGCCCUCAGCUCUGGGAUAAGCCUGGGAAACCGGGUCUAAUACCGGAUAUGACUCCAUGACGCAUGUUGUGGGGUGGAAAGCCUUGUGCGGCUGAGGAUGGGCCCGCGGCCUAUCAGCUUGUUGGUGGGGUGAUGGCCUACCAAGGCGACGACGGGUAGCCGGCCUGAGAGGGCGACCGGCCACACUGGGACUGAGACACGGCCCAGACUCCUACGGGAGGCAGCAGUGGGGAAUCUUCCGCAAUGGGCGAAAGCCUGACGCAGCGACGCCGCGUGAGGGAUGACGGCCU